Molecule: unclassified non-coding RNA, 315 nt
Filed under: plant metagenome
Description: partial contains 5.8S ribosomal RNA, internal transcribed spacer 2, and large subunit ribosomal RNA
Rfam family: 5.8S ribosomal RNA (bases 1-105)
Source: RNAcentral
GAACUGCGAUAAGUAAUGUGAAUUGCAGAAUUCAGUGAAUCAUCGAGUCUUUGAACGCACAUUGCGCCCCCUGGCAUUCCGGGGGGCAUGCCUGUCCGAGCGUCAUUGCUGCCCUUCAAGCCAGGCUUGUGUGUUGGGUCGUCGUCCCCUCCGGGGGACGGGCCCGAAAGGCAGCGGCGGCACCGCGUCCGGUCCUCGAGCGUAUGGGGCUUUGUCACCCGCUCGAUAAGGACCGGCCGGGCGCCAGCCGGCGUCUCCAACCUUUUUUUCUCAGGUUGACCUCGGAUCAGGUAGGGAUACGCGCUGAACUUAAGC